RNAcentral lists this ribosomal RNA (498 nucleotides) under Listeria monocytogenes. RNAcentral's name for it is "partial 23S ribosomal RNA". It matches the Rfam family "Bacterial large subunit ribosomal RNA", at positions 1 to 500 of the family's 2925-position model. The record is from RNAcentral. Lineage: Bacteria; Bacillati; Bacillota; Bacilli; Caryophanales; Listeriaceae.
UAGAAAGGGCGCACGGUGGAUGCCUUGGCACUAGGAGCCGAAGAAGGACGGGACUAACACCGAUAUGCUUUGGGGAGCUGUACGUAAGCGUUGAUCCAGAGAUUUCCGAAUGGGGGAACCCACUAUCUUUAGUCGGAUAGUAUCCUUACGUGAAUACAUAGCGUAAGGAAGGCAGACCCAGGGAACUGAAACAUCUAAGUACCUGGAGGAAGAGAAAGAAAAAUCGAUUUCCUGAGUAGCGGCGAGCGAAACGGAAAGAGCCCAAACCAAGAAGCUUGCUUCUUGGGGUUGUAGGACACUCUAUACGGAGUUACAAAAGAAAGUUAUAAAUGAAGCGGUCUGGAAAGGCCCGCCAAAGACGGUAACAGCCCGGUAGUUGAAAUGGCUUUCCCUCCAGAGUGGAUCCUGAGUACGGCGGAACACGUGAAAUUCCGUCGGAAUCCGGGAGGACCAUCUCCCAAGGCUAAAUACUCCCUAGUGACCGAUAGUGAACCAGUA